UGCUGUGAGCUCGAUGAGUAGGGCGGGACACGUGGUAUCCUGUCUGAAUAUGGGGGGACCAUCCUCCAAGGCUAAAUACUCCUGACUGACCGAUAGUGAACCAGUACCGUGAGGGAAAGGCGAAAAGAACCCCGGCGAGGGGAGUGAAAAAGAACCUGAAACCGUGUACGUACAAGCAGUGGGAGCACCCUUCGGGGUGUGACUGCGUACCUUUUGUAUAAUGGGUCAGCGACUUAUAUUCUGUAGCAAGGUUAACCGAAUAGGGGAGCCGGAGGGAAACCGAGUCUUAAUUGGGCGUUAAGUUGCAGGGUAUAGACCCGAAACCCGGUGAUCUAGCCAUGGGCAGGUUGAAGGUUGGGUAACACUAACUGGAGGACCGAACCGACUAAUGUUGAAAAAUUAGCGGAUGACCUGUGGCUGGGGGUGAAAGGCCAAUCAAACCGGGAGAUAGCUGGUUCUCCCCGAAAGCUAUUUAGGUAGCGCCUCGUGAAUUCAUCUCCGGGGGUAGAGCACUGUUUCGGCUAGGGGGCCAUCCCGGCUUACCAACCCGAUGCAAACUGCGAAUACCGGAGAAUGUUAUCACGGGAGACACACGGCGGGUGCUAACGUCCGUCGUGAAGAGGGAAACAACCCAGACCGCCAGCUAAGGUCCCAAAGUCAUGGUUAAGUGGGAAACGAUGUGGGAAGGCCCAGACAGCCAGGAUGUUGGCUUAGAAGCAGCCAUCAUUUAAAGAAAGCGUAAUAGCUCACUGGUCGAGUCGGCCUGCGCGGAAGAUGUAACGGGGCUAAACCAU
This 794-nucleotide ribosomal RNA is filed under the name Salmonella enterica. Its description in RNAcentral is "partial 23S ribosomal RNA". It matches the Rfam family "Bacterial large subunit ribosomal RNA", at positions 395 to 1190 of the family's 2925-position model. Lineage: Bacteria; Pseudomonadati; Pseudomonadota; Gammaproteobacteria; Enterobacterales; Enterobacteriaceae. The record is from RNAcentral.